RNAcentral lists this long non-coding RNA (1199 nucleotides) under Monodelphis domestica (gray short-tailed opossum). RNAcentral's name for it is "lncRNA (ENSMODG00000044191.1)". Lineage: Eukaryota; Metazoa; Chordata; Mammalia; Didelphimorphia; Didelphidae. The record is from RNAcentral.
AUGAAGACCAAAGGAAGGCCCAAGAUGAUGAAAGCAGAAGAAAGGAAGCACGUGCCUUCUCCAGAGUCACAAAGCAAUGAUAUGGCUGAUGAUCAAGUGAAUUCCGAAACCUUAAAAGGUAGGUGCCAUCAUGAUCUCAUUUUAAGAAGAAGAAACUGAGGCAGAAAAAGUUUAAGUGAUUUGCCCAGUCAUACAGCCAAUCAAACAAGUUCAUAUUUCUGUAGGAGGCCUUUCCUUACCCUACCUUAACCCUACCGGGGUACUAUCUGUUUCUUUCUGAGGUUAGUAGAAAUAUAUGUGUUUUGUACAUUUAUAUUCUAUACUUGGUCAUUUGAAUCUUGGCUCCCCUAUUAGAAUAUGAACUCCCUGAGGACAGAGACUAUAUUUUGUCUUCUUAUUAAUCCUGACUGACCAAGACAGUAAUAAGUGAGUGUUGACUAAUAAGCACCAUUCCUACACUUCUGGAUAUAUGUAAUUUAGAACAUUCUUAUCUUUAGUUAGGUUGGAACAUUUCUAAUCUGUGUAACAAAGUUAGAUCAUUCCUCACCUGUCUUUUGGUCAAUAGGCAUGUAAUAACAUUUACUAUGGGCCAGACAUGUCAUAAUCCCUAGGGAUACAAAGAAUGACAAAAAAAUUAUCCCUGCUCUCAAAGAGCUUAUAUUCUAUUGGGGAGCUAAAUGCAAAUAACUAGGAAUAUAUAUGUAUAUCUAUGAAAAUAACUAGGGAUCUAUAUAUAUAUAUGCAUUUGUAUAUGGGAAUAUAUAUACAAAAUGCAUAUAUAUUUGUAAAUGGGAAUAUAUAUAUAUAUAUACAAAAAGCAUAUAUAUCACCUCUACAUGUAGAUAUACUCAUAUGCAGCAGCUAGGUACUGUAGUGGAUAAAAUGUUGGGCCUAUAAUCAAGUAAAUCUGAAUUCAGACACUUGCUGUAGCUGUGUGACCAUAGAUAAGACACAUAACUCUUUUUGUCUCAGUUUCCUUUUCUGUAAAAUGAACUGGAGAAGGAAAUGGCAAGUCAUUCUAGUAUCUUUCCCAAGAAAGGCUCAAAUGGGAUCACAAGAAUCAUAAAUGCCUGAAAUGAUUGAACAAUAACAAAUAUUGUAUACACACAGACAUGUAUACAUAGACAUAUUUAUGUAUGAUGUAAAUGGAAAGGUGUCAAAAUUUAGAGAGGAGCAGAGCAAUGACAUCAAGCUCAAGC